UAGAUACCCCACUAUGCUUCGCCUUAAAUCUUGACAGUUCCCCAACCAAAGUGUCCGCCUGAGAACUACGAGCACAAACGCUUAAAAUUCUAAGGACUUGGCGGUGCCCUAAACCCACCUAGAGGAGCCUGUUCUAUAAUCGAUAACCCACGCUAUACCCGACCGCUCUUUGCCCAUUCAGCCUACAUACCGCCGUCGCCAGUCCACCUAUCCUGAAAGAACAAUAGUGGGCACAUUAGCCCUAACCAUGCUAAAAAGACAGGUCAAGGUAUAGCCCAUAGAGCGGAAGAAAUGGGCUACAUUUUCUAAUCUAGAAAACCACGAAAGGGGACAUGAAACUUCCCCAGAAGGCGGAUUUAGCAGUAAAGUUGGACCACAAUGCCACCUUAAAACUGGCCCCGGGGCACGUACAUACCGCCCGUCACCCCCCUCUCUAGCUACCAACACAAGUAACUAACACAGUUGCCAGCCAAAGACAGCU
This 481-nucleotide ribosomal RNA is filed under the name Phaeoptila sordida. Its description in RNAcentral is "Cynanthus sordidus partial 12S ribosomal RNA". It matches the Rfam family "Bacterial small subunit ribosomal RNA", at positions 779 to 1455 of the family's 1533-position model. Lineage: Eukaryota; Metazoa; Chordata; Aves; Apodiformes; Trochilidae. The record is from RNAcentral.